This 839-nucleotide long non-coding RNA is filed under the name Mus musculus (house mouse). RNAcentral describes it as "long non-coding RNA chr17:84096871-84097710". Lineage: Eukaryota; Metazoa; Chordata; Mammalia; Rodentia; Muridae. The record is from RNAcentral.
AUGGGAGAACGGACCGACCGCACCUAGGAGACCCAGUUCUCUCUCCUCCAGAGCCCCCCAGAGGGAUCGGGGCAGCCAGGAGCCAGGGUGGGCAGGACGCAGGGUCUCUUUUGCGGGCUACAGGGUGCUGAAAGCGUCGAGGUUUCUGUCGGGCCCCGAUACGUUCGAGCUGUGGAAAUGGGAACGGCACGUGCCUACACUGGCUCCUAGGAGAACUUAAAUGGACUUGCUUGCCCAGGCUAGAGCCCUACCCGGCAGGCCCUCCACAACACCAAGAAGAACGGGUCUGUAGUUAAAGUCAAGGACCCCGAGGAGUGUUGGGGAAACUUGCCUAGGCCCACUGUGACCUUACCAAAUCUAUAAGAUGGCUCCGUGGAUAAAGGUGCUUGCUUUUAAACCUGGAGACCUCCACUCGAUCCCUGUGACCCUUAUUAACCAUGGAAGCAGAGACCUCCACGUAUGUGCACCACCCCUCAAGCAUGUUCCCUACCCCACGGUAACGAUAAACAACGUUAUUUUUAAAGUGAAGCGGUAGGCUGGACAUCUAUCUGCAUUUUCCUGUUCUUCAAGCCCUCUGGAAGCUCUCUGAAAGCCGCCGCAAAAGUGGCUCAGCGCUCCGCCCCAGUUCAUGGGUGAGAAGACAAUCUUCAGAAGUGACAGGCCACGGUCACAGAGCAGGGCUGCUUGGACCCUGGGCAUGCUGGUUGUGCGCAAAGCGGAGCAGAAGAAAGAAAAAGCUGCUAGAGAUUGAGACACUGGCCUUCCUCAAGCCUAAACCCUCCCUGACUUCAAAGCCCUGGACCAAGGCUCGUAUUAAAACCCUGACCUCUCCUUGUACU